RNAcentral lists this unclassified non-coding RNA (310 nucleotides) under plant metagenome. Its description in RNAcentral is "partial contains 5.8S ribosomal RNA, internal transcribed spacer 2, and large subunit ribosomal RNA". The stretch from base 1 to 105 matches the Rfam family "5.8S ribosomal RNA", at positions 50 to 154 of the family's 154-position model. The record is from RNAcentral.
GAAAUGCGAUAAGUAGUGUGAAUUGCAGAAUUCAGUGAAUCAUCGAAUCUUUGAACGCACAUUGCGCCCCUUGGUAUCCCAUGGGGCAUGCCUGUUCGAGCGUCAUUUGUACCCUCAAGCUCUGCUUGGUGUUGGGUGUUUGUCCCCGUCUCCGCGCGUGGACUCGCCCCAAAGUGAUUGGCAGCCGGCGUACUGGUCCCGGAGCGCAGCACAUGUCGCGCAAACGAGUGCCUUGGUACGGCGGCGUCCAUAAGCCCCUCUCUCACGCUCUUGACCUCGGAUCAGGUAGGGAUACCCGCUGAACUUAAGC